This is a long non-coding RNA of Vidua macroura (Pin-tailed whydah), 514 nucleotides long. RefSeq lists it as uncharacterized. Lineage: Eukaryota; Metazoa; Chordata; Aves; Passeriformes; Viduidae. The transcript is spliced from 3 exons. The record is from RefSeq and is a predicted model, not a curated record.
ACACACCACACCGAAACUGGGGCACACCACACUGCAAUCGGGACACAACACACUGAAAUCGCGAUUUCUCCCUCCCCGAGCCGCGCUAUCAGCUGGGGAGGUCCUCUUGCCUUUUCCUAGUCUGGAUUCUAGUUACCCGCUGGUUAUUGCCCUGGAGCUCAACAUUCACCUCAUUCUCACCUCAUCCCCCUCCGAACCGGGGCAGAGGGACGUUGUGGUGAAUGCGGAGCCCGUCGCCGGGUGUGGGAAACGCACUACUACGAGGUCCACACUCACGUCGUCUCACAGAGACGUCUCACUCAUCACACUCCGGGAUCCCAACCCCGACAGAGCGGGCCCCGCUGCCUCCGAACGGGGCAACCUCAGUAGCCCCGAAGGACCACUGAAAGGGCACACUCAAUUUGCUGCCUCGUGGAAUAACAAUAAUAUUGUUUUGCACACAUUCCCCAAGAUCAAGUCCAAAGUAGUGAGUUAAAGGGACUCCUUUGAUCCGUUUCGCCACGAUUAAAACAAA